UACGUAGGGUGCAAGCGUUAAUCGGAAUUACUGGGCGUAAAGCGUGCGCAGGCGGUGAUGUAAGACAGAUGUGAAAUCCCCGGGCUCAACCUGGGAACUGCAUUUGUGACUGCAUCGCUGGAGUGCGGCAGAGGGGGAUGGAAUUGCCGGUGUAGUGGUGAAAUGCGUAGAGAUCGGCAGGAACACCCAGGGGGAAACCAGUCGACUGGGCAUCUACUGACGCUGAGGUGCGAGAGCGUGGGGAGCGAACCGG
RNAcentral lists this ribosomal RNA (253 nucleotides) under uncultured bacterium. Its description in RNAcentral is "partial 16S ribosomal RNA". It matches the Rfam family "Bacterial small subunit ribosomal RNA", at positions 524 to 776 of the family's 1533-position model. The record is from RNAcentral.